CGCUCCAUACCUUAAAUUGGUUUUCACUGGGAGCAUCAAAAUUCAUAUUGAUGAGUGAAAGCUAGAAAUACAACGCAAGUUUGAGGAGAAGUGUUUUCUGCCAAGUGACUGCAAGGAGCCAGCAGCUUAAAACAAUAUCCUAAGAAGACAUGAGUGGCCGUUCCUGGGACAGGCAGCCAUCUCUUGCUAUGGAGAACUGACUGGUGGGACUUGAACAGACCAAAGGGAAGAACAUCCUCAGUCCUAAUGAACGUGCUGAGCCUAUUAUGUGUUCAGGCAGUCUCCCUGGAAUACCAGUAAAAGAAAAUUAAAUCAACUCACGACAGCUAU
Long non-coding RNA from Rhinopithecus roxellana (golden snub-nosed monkey), 330 nucleotides. RefSeq lists it as uncharacterized. The record is from RefSeq and is a predicted model, not a curated record. The transcript has 3 exons. Lineage: Eukaryota; Metazoa; Chordata; Mammalia; Primates; Cercopithecidae.